AACGUAGGAGGCAAGCGUUAUCCGGAGUAACUGGGCGUAAAGGGCGCGUAGGUGGUUGCGUAAGUUGGUUAUGAAAGCUCCUGGCUAAACUGGGAGAGGUUGACCAAGACUGCGCGACUUGAGUGGAGAAGAGGUAAACGGAAUUCCGCGUGUAGUGGUGAAAUGCGUAGAGAUGCGGAAGAACACCAGUGGCGAAGGCGGUUUACUGGUCUGCAACUGACACUGAACCGCGAAAGCAUGGGUAGCGAACGGG
This 253-nucleotide ribosomal RNA is filed under the name uncultured bacterium. Its description in RNAcentral is "partial 16S ribosomal RNA". It matches the Rfam family "Bacterial small subunit ribosomal RNA", at positions 524 to 776 of the family's 1533-position model. The record is from RNAcentral.